GGAACAAGGAACAGAAAAUGAUGAAACCAGAAGCAGGGCUACAGUUGUUUCUGAAGAUGUACCUGGAGAGCUGCUGGAUUCACAACCUGUUUUACAUGACCAUGUAGAAGAUGUUAACAUCUUUUAUCUCAAGACAGGAAAUAAUGAAGGAAAAAUAUUUGACUUCAUUGUGAGCUCCGAGUGCAGUUUUGAUGGCUUCAGUACUGAGGAUGUGCAUGUUAAGCAGUAGAGAGGAACAGACUGCAAUACCAGGUUCUUCAAAGAAGACCUGUACUGCAGAUAGAGGUGGAGAAGAGAGUUACGAUGGGAAGGGCAGUGGCUUCCCAUGGGCAGACCUGACAUGCUGUUACCUUUCCUGUCUACAAGAUAAGUCUACUCAUCUGAUGACUCAAGUCAUAUGA
This 401-nucleotide long non-coding RNA is filed under the name Anas platyrhynchos platyrhynchos (common mallard). RNAcentral describes it as "lncRNA (ENSAPLG00000031036.1)". The record is from RNAcentral. Lineage: Eukaryota; Metazoa; Chordata; Aves; Anseriformes; Anatidae.